RNAcentral lists this transfer RNA (76 nucleotides) under Nocardia otitidiscaviarum. RNAcentral describes it as "tRNA-Arg". It matches the Rfam family "tRNA". Rfam says of the family: Transfer RNA (tRNA) molecules are approximately 80 nucleotides in length. RNAcentral also lists the same sequence under 3 other names. The record is from RNAcentral. Lineage: Bacteria; Bacillati; Actinomycetota; Actinomycetes; Mycobacteriales; Nocardiaceae.
GCCCUCGUAGCUCAGGGGAUAGAGCACCGCUCUCCUAAAGCGGGUGUCGCAGGUUCGAAUCCUGCCGAGGGCACAA